GAAUAGUUGAUAUAGGAGUGGAGAAAAGGAGGCCAGGCAAAGAAAAUCUCACAUUAGGAUUACUGUGCUGUGUGCAGAAUGCAAGAGAAGGUGAGAUCCCACAUGGAGAAGCAAACUCGCAAAGCUUCAUGUGUCAUAAGGUCCCUUGGCUAACAUCUCAGAAGACUUUCUCACCUGUUUUCAGACUGACUUUUGCUGUGGAUUCACAAGUCAAAAUAUGUCUUCUCUGAUAUGAAAGUCACAAGAAGUUUUAUCCAUAUUCCCUGGUCUCUGACAUCCUGCCUGCACAUGAAAACCACCAACACAAACCUUCUCUAUCAAGCACCAAUCAAAGUAUGAGUCCAACAAAACAGAGGAAUAUUUUUAAUGCUAUGUUUUCUUGAAAUUUUACUGUUGAAAUGUUUGCUUCUAUUCCUUUUUCCUUCAUUCUGUAGUUUCUGUAUUCUGCAUGUCUGCUCCUGCUUUCUGUUUCUGUAAACCUGAGACAAUAUUUUCCCAAUAAACCACAUAAAACUGGCAUUAAAGGCUCAUGGACAUCUCCUUCUUUCUUUUGUUAUUCUAAUGUGUUUAAAGGAAAGAUGCAAUUAAAUCUAGAAAACUAAUACUCCCUAUGUUUGUUUGUGAUAGAUUUAGAAUAAUCACUAAUAGACCGGGCGCGGUGGCUCACGCCUGUAUUCA
Molecule: long non-coding RNA, 678 nt
Organism: Cercocebus atys (sooty mangabey)
Lineage: Eukaryota; Metazoa; Chordata; Mammalia; Primates; Cercopithecidae
Exons: 3
Source: RefSeq, a predicted model, not a curated record